Molecule: non-coding RNA, 256 nt
Organism: Puma concolor (puma)
Lineage: Eukaryota; Metazoa; Chordata; Mammalia; Carnivora; Felidae
Source: RefSeq, a predicted model, not a curated record
AGGACAAAAAAUAUUGCCUUGAGAAGUCACUCGCUGUGCCAUUGAUUGGCCCAUGACUCAGCAGAGAGUCCACAGAUACACAUUUUGGAUGUGCUGCCUGGAGAUGAUGCAAGUGCUGUCAAGUUUCCCAACCUGGAUUUUAUUUCCUUCAUGAUGAGAAAUAGAAGUACAUAAUUUGGCAGAGAGAAAAGUGAUUAUCCUGUUGGUUAAGAGGAAAAUGUUUUAGUGAUAUGAAAAAUAAAAAAAUCACUACAAA